AUUCUACAGACUGGAGUAGCUUUAUAAUUUAGACUACAAGAUUAACUUUUAGUGUAAAAAACAAAUUAUAACUAAACCCUAUUUAGUCAAACAUUAACCACUCCAACAAACCAUAAUCUCAGAACUCGGAUUAGAUACCCGACUACUGUAUGGCUCAACAUAUAUAAGAAUACUACGAGCGAAAGCUUAAACCUCAAACAAUGUGGCGGUGCUUUACUCCUCAUCAGGGGAUCCUGUGGCUUAAUUCGAUAAUCCACGAAAAUCUUAGCUACUCUAGACUUCCAGCUUGUGUAUGGCCGUUUAUGCUUGCUCUUAAAAGAAAAAAAAGGAAGCAGAAGAGGUUACUACCCCAAAAAUUCAGGUGACAUACAGCCAAUGAUUAGCAGAUCCAUGGGAUACAAAUAAACAUCCUAUCAAAUUUAAAAAUUAAAAUUUUUAAUAAAGGAGGACUUGAAAGUAAGGGUUACUCCAUCAAAUGACCCUGAAUAAGAACUAAAGCGCGCACAAAUCGCCCGUCACUCCGACAAUAAAGUAGGAUAAGUCGUAACAUAGUAGGGGUAAUGGAAAUUGCCCCUAUCACA
This 581-nucleotide ribosomal RNA is filed under the name Sinanodonta woodiana. Its description in RNAcentral is "partial 12S ribosomal RNA". Lineage: Eukaryota; Metazoa; Mollusca; Bivalvia; Unionida; Unionidae. The record is from RNAcentral.